CAGGACUGUGCAGUUGGCUUUUUUCCUUACAGUCCUUGAGUUCCCUGUCUCUUUGUGGAGCCUGCUGGGUGAACUCUAGGGUGCCUGCUGCAGUGGAAUUGUGCCUCUUUCUCUCGAAGCAGAAGGUGCAAGUAUAGUAUUAAAAGCUUAAAAGCUUUAAAUUAAAAUUAAAAAUUAAAAGCGUUAAAGCUGAUGGGUACAGGUAUAUGUGGGUGUCACAGUUUAAAAGUAUGUCUGCAAAUUCUUUAAUUUUCCUCCUUUCAAGAGGUAGAGUCUAAUCAUCAUCUUGCCUUCUUUCCCCAGAGUGUGGGCUAGACUUGGUGACUUGCUUAUAAAGACUAGAAUAAGGCAGGAGUGAUCGUGAUAGAACACGACUCCAGAGAUUAGGUCAUAAACGGGGUUGUGGCUUUCUCCCUGCUCUCUCUGUCUCUCUCUCUCUCUUGGACUGCUCACUCUGGGGGAUGCCAGCUGAUGCGUGUCGUGAGUACACUCAAGGAGCCCUAUGGAGAGAGGUCAAUUGCCAACAGCCAUGUGAACAAUCCACUUUGGAAAUAGAUUCUCCAGCCUCGUCAUGCCCUCAGAUAACUGCAGCCCUGGAUGACACCUUGAUGGCAACCUCAUGACAGACUCUGAGCCGGAACCACCCCUCUAAGCUGCUCCCAAAUUCCUGACCCAUAGAAACUGUGAGGUUUUUCCAUCUACCAAGGAUGGAUAAGGCUGAGGAUAUAAUUAAGCAAUAGAAACAGCAAAACUAGAGAUGGUACUCUGCAAACAUGUUCCAUGAGGAGACAGCAGGUCGACCUACCCAUCUGAUUUCGCUUUACAUUCUUACCAGCUGGAUGACAGAGUCCUGUUCAAAAGCUGGAAAGAACAAGGUCUUGAGCAUCAGCUGUCUGCUAAAUGGACAGGCUGCUUUCACCACCUGUUCUUCCAUGGAGCUCUCUGGAGUAAAACCGUGGAUACAUUGAAUCCAGAUAAAACAAGCUCUACCAGAAGAGACAACAGAGCAACCUGAGACCACCUCCUGAAAGUGCGAACACAUCAAGGAUUUAAGAUGUGUAUUCUGUAAAGUUCCUUAAUCUUUACACAAUACUUAGGACAAAUACAAGGAAUCAAGUAUGCUUUAACAUGUCCUCUAGCGCUCAAGAGACAAUUUGUUUCUGUUUUGCUAUUAAUGGUUAUGAGAUUGCCUCAUGUCAGUUAUAACUUCUGCCUCCAGAAACAUCUUCCCUUUCUGAUUGUUGGUUACUGAUCAUGGAGAAAAGUCACUAACUUUGAUCCCCUGACAGAUGGCCACAAUACCCACUUUAAUUCUAUGAGGCUAGUAUUUUUAUAUGAUAUAAACACCUAGACAUUAAUUUGGACUUUAUGGGGUACAUUUAUUAUAUAGGACAGACUUUAGGGAAAACUGCUUGGGAACUUCUCCCAGGGAAGGUUUUUGGUAGAGAUAUAAUCAGGACUAGAGCCACCAAGUAUCAGCAUUAUUAUGUUGCCAUUGGAAUCAAUGAUGAGUUGCUAAAAAAAAAAUACCAGGUUAUAACAGCAGUUACUUAGCCAAACCUUGUGUUUCCUGUCAUAGUGCCAUGUGUCCCCAUUCCCCUCAGCCAUGUUUUUGUGGAUGGGUACCAAAAACCAAAUCUUCUAAUAAGAAGGGAUGAUCACAUGCAGUAGGAGUAAAAUGGUGGACCACUGCUAACAAAGGACAAAAAGAGAUUUUAGGAUCAUUCGGGGCUAGAUUGAGUGUAUUGGGCCAAGUGGAAAUGGCAUUUGAUAAAAACUAUCACAGGCAAGAGAUGCAAUAUUUAAUGGCAUCAGGAAAAUUAGGUGGAUUAUUGUUUCAAGAAGAAGGAAAGGGUUGGGAAGCAGUCUGGAAGACCAACCAAGCUUUAGACAAAUGGAUAAGCAAAACUCAGGAAAUAAUGACAAAAUAUGCUGAGUCUCAACUGUGGGAAAAGGCAUGUGCCUCUACCCAGCAAAGCUUAAUAGACAUGCUUCUCUAAAUGGAAUCAGAAGUAGCAAUGAAACAAUGGCCCACUAUCUUAACAGCUGAGGCCCAAGAAACCCACUUAUGGGAAAAUAUGGGACACCAAACAUAUGGGAAAUAAUUGAAGGAAUUUUAAGUCUACACUGUUGUUCUCUGACUGCCUUAGUACUCAAAUUAAGAAAAGAUUUCAAACAUGAAGUAGUACAGCUUGUAGGAAUAGAUACCCUCCACAACAAUUACCAAAUACUUCCUAUGGGAAGUUUCUGGACCCUCUUUUCCUUGCAUAACUCAAUGGGAACCAAUUUCAGUUAUGAGUUGUAAAUAACGAAAUGGUUACAUUGGCUAUUCCAACAUAUGGCUAUGCCCACAACAGCAAUGGAACUCAGAGGUAAGUCUGACUUGGCCUGUGGUAAGAACUCUGGUUCAAGAUACAUUUGGUACAUGGAAAAAGGGAGAUUCUGUUGGGAAGGUGCCAUGAAUCAUACUGAUUCGUCCGUUUGAUCUGAUAAUCGUCCGUUUAUCAGAUCCUUAUCGUGACCAAACUGAGUUCAUAAUGAAUUUGUCUAAUAUCUGGUGUACUACAGAGGUUACAGGUAAAGUUCAUUUGCUGGAAACUAACAAAACCUGUGAUAACACUGAUGAAGAAGACUAUACCUAUCAGGAGUUAGAACUGAGACCCUCCACAAAGGUAAACUUAUAGAAGAUAAAUGGCCUAAGCAAAAUCUAAACUUAGCAUCUCAAGAAGUCCAGAGGUUCUUGAACAAGCUGGAGUAAUUGAACACCAGGCAGAGGUCACUGUUACAGAGAGGGGAAAGAGAAUCAUUCAGUUAAUCCAAAAAUAUGCAGAAGUUUGUUCUGGUUUCAUCAGAUGGCUCUCUUGUCUGAUUGGGUCUGCCUCUAGUAGUGAUAAAAUCUUAAAAGUUACCUUUUUUGCCUCCUUCUGAUAAUUUGUAUCCUUUUCUUACCCUGAGGUUGUGUUAACUGAUAAAAUGGAAAAAAAACUAAAGUCUCAAACAGUGUUAAUCAACACUGUUGCUCGAGAAUACUUUCAAAUCAAGUUUCGUCAGUUCCAUUCCUCUAUUCUCUAUGAUGCCCCUUGUCAGCAGGAAGUAGCCAGAUAGAAAUGAUAGCCAUAUAAGAUUAUAGAAUGGAUAACUGACAGUGAGAAAUUGAUACUGGCCUGAAGUAAGUUUGAUAUGAGGGAAGCUAUGUUGUAACUUAGAAUAACCUCUGACUAAACCACCCAAGCUGUAUGUUUUACCUUGCACUAGCCUAGGAGAUAAAUAGCUACCCUCUAGGAAAUAAUCCUGGCUGACAAAUGUACAGCCCAAUAGAUAUGGAUGAUAACUUUGUUAUUUUGAGUUUCUUAGGAACAUGGUGACCUCCUCAGAGAAGAACAUCUAUGCUGGCAUAUAUCAUCGAAGACAACUGAAAGACCUGUGGCAUCUCCAGUCACUGAUGCCAGAUAGUCAAUGUUCCUGAGCCCCUCCUUCAUAGCUCACUAGUCUCUAUACAACUGCCUCAAGAUUAUAUGCUUGUUUAAGAUGGUCUUUGGGACAUGAGCCUACCGUCUUCUGAUUUUGCUGGCUAAUCAAAUUAAUUCCUUUCUCAACCACUGACUCAUUUGUAGUUGAUUGCCUUCAGGGUUGUGGCAAGCAGAAUGAGCCCUUGCUUGGUUACAGAAUUUGUCUGACUUCCAAAUGUUUGGGAAUAAGAUAACUGGAGAGUCUGAUCAGCACCUGCCAAGGGUGUCAUUGCUGAAGACUGGUCCUGUGCAGUUCAGAUCCUUAGCUGUGUGUCCCACACAUGCUCACUUGUUGUUUCCAAGCUCAGAAAUUGUGCUAGGUUGGCUGGGUCAAAGUGAAGGUUAUGUUGGUAGCACUGUCUCAUGCUACCCUAGAUCUAGCCUCUGAGCUUCAGGGCCCUCUAUUGUGCCCAGGCCAUUAGAUACCUCCUGCCUUGUGGUGAGAUCUCUUUGGUGCCCCGCAUAUCCUUUCCUCUCAGCAGACCUAAAGGGCCAGGAGCAACUGGUCCAGCCAAGGUGCUGGGAAUUAGAAUCUGGGAAUAAGUUCAGGGCUGGGAUCUCAGAAGACUCCUGGGCUGCUAUUGAAAACUCAUCCUCUCCUUCCAGGAGAUUUGCCUCCCAGGGAGUGGUAGCUUUUGCUAAAGUCUGGAUGUAAGAGUAUCCUCUGUGGUCUGACUGCUUGACUUUGAAUCCUGGCUUUACCAUUUCUAAGCUGAGUAAUCUUGUGCAAUUUGCUUAAUCUGUUUAAGAUUCAAUUUGCUCAUCUGUGAAAGAGGGUUUAUUAGAGUACCUUCCCCUUAGGAUCCCCAAGAGGAUUAAAUGAGGUAAUCCAUGUGAAGUAUAUAGUGUAGUUCCUGGCAUGAAAAUACUCAAUAAAAGUUAGCUGCAAAAUUAUUAUGCUACAUAAAACCCAAUAGGUCCUAUUACACCAAAAUGGAAGUUUUGGUACAAGGGGACUGUUUCUUCAUUGUGUGGAGAAAUGGCUGGAAACUUAUUUCUUGUUUAAAAAAAUCUGUCUUAACGUCAUUGAUUAGUAAGUUUAAACUGUUUGUCCCCAACUUUAUUUGCUGUAUUUACUCUUUGGUGAAUUGUCAGUUAAUACUUUUCUUGUUUUCUGCAUUCUUUGUAUUUUUUUAGCUAAACUUUUUAUUUUGAGAUAACUGCAUAUUCUUAUGCAGUAAUAAGAAAUAAUACAGAGAGAUUCCAUGUAACCUUUCCCUCAGUUUCCUGAGCAUCUCUGUGUGUGUAUUUAUUUAUUUUUCCAGUCUCUUUCUCUCUCUGGUUCAAAUUGGAUCAUUUCUAUUGUCCUAUCUUCAAAGUCACUAAUUCUUUCUUCUGUCCUCUACAUUCUGUGGUUGAG
Equus caballus (horse) is the source of this 4869-nucleotide long non-coding RNA. NCBI's taxonomy places the organism in Eukaryota, Metazoa, Chordata, Mammalia, Perissodactyla, Equidae. The record is from Ensembl.